Molecule: non-coding RNA, 23 nt
Filed under: Arabidopsis thaliana (thale cress)
Lineage: Eukaryota; Viridiplantae; Streptophyta; Magnoliopsida; Brassicales; Brassicaceae
Source: RNAcentral
ACCGGACUGAUGGUCGGGAUUGU